Molecule: long non-coding RNA, 2512 nt
Organism: Vespa velutina
Lineage: Eukaryota; Metazoa; Arthropoda; Insecta; Hymenoptera; Vespidae
Exons: 2
Source: RefSeq, a predicted model, not a curated record
ACUUUCACUCUUAUAUAAUUAUAAAAAGGGAGAAUUAAUUAAACUGGCAAUACGAGCUAAUGCCAGUUAUUUUGGCCACUAUAGUAACAAUAUUAGCCGAACAUGUAGAAAAAAGGUCACCUGGAGUCAUGAGCUUGCAGAUGAUUAGGUGCAUCUGCAAAUGUAAAUUUCAAUUUAUAGGCUUCUGCAACCAAAAUACCUAUUUCUGAAUCUGUCCAGUUUUGUGUAGGCAAGUUCUGUAGCAUCAACAUCAAGCCCUAUAUUUAAAACAAACACAUAAAAAGUACUAUGAUCAACGAUAUUAAAUCAUAAAAAUGUGUCGAUAUUUUUUUCUUAAUUAUGGAAGAAUACAAGUUAAACUUGCCUGAAAAUCAGGUUGUAAGAGUAAAUGACGUCUCCAACGAAGAAGAAAAGCUGCACAUACGUAAAGUUGAAACGAAGCGAAUCGAUCGGAUUCUGCUAAGUAGGUAUCCCACAGGCGAAUUGUACAAUGCAAUGGAAUUUCUCUGGUUAAUAAAUUAUUCAUCCAUCGAAAAGAAAAUUGUAAAUAAUCUAUCCCAUGUUGAUGAAGAUGUUGAUGUAAAGGAGCUAUAAUAGAAAAUUUUCGUAAUAUUUAUAGGUUAAUAAAAAAUUUGCGUUUUAUAUUCAUCAUAAAACAAAUACCAUCAAUCCUUUGAAUAAGUUCCUUUAAUUGAUUCACUUUAUGUUGUAUUCCUAAUUGGGCAAAUAUAUAAUUAUCUUGGAUACCAUCAAGAAAUUUGGAUAAACACCAAAAACUAUCUGCUUCAAUAAUAUCACGUUGUUCUUUUUUUAAAGAUGCCAAGUCAUAAUUUUCUAUAUCUUGCCAAGCCGAUACUGGUAUAGCCUCUUGCAAAAAUACUAAGAAGAAGGGAGUAACAAGAUCGUUCAUACCCUACAAUAUCAAAAUUAAAAUCAAUAUUUAAAUGCUUUUAGAAUAGGUAGAACAUAACAUGAAAUAGCUAUGAUAUAACAUGAAACAACAUUCAAUUAUAAUAUAAUAUUCAUACUUAUUAAUAUACCUGUACAUAGCCAGAAGCUGGAUGUCGAAUAGCCCAUAUAUAAAGUAUUCUUUCAAAAAUUAAUUGUACAGUUGUCUGUUGAAAUAAUGAAAUGAGGGGAGACAUUCUUGGAAUAUCAAUAUGAAUUUGACGAUAUGUAUCUUGGAAUCCUUCAUCUCUUUCCACAUCAUAAUACUGUUUUACUAGAUUCCAAUAAUCUAAACGUUUACGUUCUAAGACAUGUUGCCUCCUUUCUAUAUUUGCUGGAAGAUAUUCCUGUGUAUAAUAAAGAAUAAUUUAAUAAUACUUAUUUUUAAGGGGUAUAUUAAAAAAAUAAAUAUACGGUAUAGAUUACCUGUCUUACUUACAGACAAUAAUCUCCAGGUAACAGAUCGUAACUUCGCUGGAACACCUGACCACGAUAACUGUCUUAAUUCUUCUAAAUUUAAUACAGAUGCAUCCAAAAGAGAUUUAAAUUUAUCUAUUUUACUUUCUCCAUCUGAAAAUAAUAAUAUAUAUGUACGAAUAAAUAAUCAAGUUAGAAAUGAUCUAUAUUUUUUCUUACCUUGUUCUUUUGAAGGUAUAAAAAAUUUUGUAGAAGAAUUCGUUUGCCUUAAUGGAAGUGGUCUACCAGGAAAUUGUGUUGGCCUAUGUUGGGGAGAAGUAUUCUGACCAAAUUUGGAAUCAGAAUUUUCUGUAGAAUGCUGACUAUUAUUAAUUUGAGGAUAAACAGACAAGUUAGCAUUCCUUAGAUGCAAUGGCUGAACAGCUAAUCUUUGGAGAGCCUCUGCUUUUUUUUCUUCAGGAAUGAUUUCUUGAGUUCGCUGGACUAAUUUAGGAUUUGUUUGUAAUUCUUUACUUGCAGUGCCUGAUCUAUGACUGUUAAUUACACUAAGUGCAGCUGAAUGACUAACUCUCUUUGAUAUUUUUACGUCAGAAACUGUACAGAAUUCAUCAUCUCCGGAAUCCCAAGCAUCAUCCACGCUCUCCUGGAAAUCUUGAAAGGAUGUAGAACCACUUCCUCCACUUGUACUGCCACCACUACCGACUGAAACUGUACCGGUCAAACCACUGGAUGUGAUCAUUGUUGUACCUAUCUUAUCAUGUCUAACAUCUUGUUUGGGACUUGGCCUUUAAAUAAGUAUUGCAUUUUAAAUAAGACAUACCUGCCUGGUACAGCUCUAGUAUUUUUUUUCCAAAAAGAUUGAUGCGUUUGAAGAAUCUGAUUAUGAUGGCUUUGAUUCUCCAUUAUCUUAUGGAAUUGGAUUAACUGGCACAAGCCACUUUUCCGUAACCACCAUAGAAAUAAUGAUUCUCCUUCAUUACCUUAAAAACUAUUGCUAAAAUUUACAAGAUAUAAUUGUCAUAAAGAAUAAAAAUGUUAUAAUGUAUUAGUUAAAUACCUAUCAGUAUCUGUCAUGUAAUAUUAACACAUAUACUAAUUGAUUUGUAAAAACAUGUAUUAAUAUAAAUAAAAAAGCUUAUAAAAUUUA